GUCUAUGGCCAUGCCACCCUGAACAAGCCCGAUAUCUGAUCUCAGAAGCUAACCAGGGUCAGGUCUGGUUAGUGCUUGGGUGGGAGACCACCUAGGAAGACUAGGUGCUAGAGUUA
This 116-nucleotide ribosomal RNA is filed under the name Pteropus alecto (black flying fox). Lineage: Eukaryota; Metazoa; Chordata; Mammalia; Chiroptera; Pteropodidae. The record is from RNAcentral.